GUGGCUGCAACCCAAGCAGGUGGUGGCUCAGGCCAGGAGAGCUGCCAUGGAGCCUUCACGAGUCUCAUUCCAACUCGCAAACACCAAAGCCAGGAGGAACAGCAGCGUGCUUGGCUUUGCACCUACAAAUUCUAAAAAGGUUUCAUCUUCCUUCGGGAGACACAGGCAUGAUGCUUUCUGUUGGCCUGGGGCCGCAGCUACCAGAGAAAAGCAGGCUCGAGAAGUAUUCAGCGCACAGAGGCGAAGUUCACAUGCGUGGUCUCCACCCAAAGCAGUUGCCAUUCACAUGAAGAGGAUGCAAGUUGGGGUGAUUUUUGCAUUGGAUCUGACUCGCCAGGAAAGAUGAUGUUUCUGAAGUUAGAAGUCAUCUACUGGGGCCCGAGCUAGACCCUUACUAAAUGUUUAACCAUCUCUGGAACAUGAGUUCCAUCUUCCCGGCAGGAUCAAAGUUGAGUUCAGGUUCCCAGGCCCCAGAACCAACUCCUAGCCCACUCAUUCAGGUGCUUCAUGUUGGUCUGUUAGCCAGUGAGGAUGUAAAGAGGGAAGUGCUGUGAUCCAGUCAUCUACGUUAAGGCACACGGCUCGUAUGUGUGCUGCUCAUCUUGACUUAAUUGACUGUGUGUGGCUUGCCCUCUCCUUGUUCCCUUACCAUUCUAAAUUCCAGGGCAGCAUCCAGGAGGGGACCUGAAUGCAAAAGCUGAUUCAGGAACCUGAAACCAGGUGACCUGGAAAAGGCCCAGUCACCAAUGCUAACUUCUUUGUUUAAACCCCUUGUGUCAAAAUGUGAUCGGUCAAUGCAACAGCCUACCCUGAUCCCCCUUGCUUUGUGUUUCCAUUCUACUAAAAUGUAGCACAAUUUCCCUUAGGGGGCGCUGUUCAGAUCCCGAACUGAGUGCCUCCCUGAGUGCUCAGAAAAUAAA
Molecule: long non-coding RNA, 920 nt
Filed under: Mus spicilegus (steppe mouse)
Lineage: Eukaryota; Metazoa; Chordata; Mammalia; Rodentia; Muridae
Description: lncRNA (ENSMSIG00000021293.1)
Source: RNAcentral